AUGUCAUCUUCAUUUUUGUUCAGCUAUGUGUUUGGGGUGUCAGGCUAUUUGACAGUAAGUGCUGCAUCAGCUGCAAGUUCUGUCUUUAAGAUCAGCCCCUCCAUAAGGAUGAUAAAAACUCCCUUGAAAGCUUCCACUUCUGUGCUUGGAUUAAACUGCUGUUUUGAUAAAACAUAUAUACUGCUGGAUCCGACAUGUCACCUUACAAUGUGUGCUUGUAGUGUGUGGUGUUCUGGCUGCCCCUCUCAUCCACCUCAGCUCUUCAUCUCUGCUCAACCUCCCAGGGUAAGCAAUUGGGUUAUUAAAUAUGAAUGGGAGAAGGGAAGGGGAGGUACAUAUU
This 340-nucleotide long non-coding RNA is filed under the name Astyanax mexicanus (Mexican tetra). Its description in RNAcentral is "lncRNA (ENSAMXG00005024587.1)". Lineage: Eukaryota; Metazoa; Chordata; Actinopteri; Characiformes; Acestrorhamphidae. The record is from RNAcentral.